Molecule: ribosomal RNA, 666 nt
Filed under: uncultured Alphaproteobacteria bacterium
Lineage: Bacteria; Pseudomonadati; Pseudomonadota; Alphaproteobacteria
Description: bacterial SSU rRNA
Rfam family: Bacterial small subunit ribosomal RNA
Source: RNAcentral
GAGCGGGCGUAGCAAUACGUCAGCGGCAGACGGGUGAGUAACGCGUGGGAACGUACCUUUUGGUUCGGAACAACACAGGGAAACUUGUGCUAAUACCGGAUAAGCCCUUACGGGGAAAGAUUUAUCGCCGAAAGAUCGGCCCGCGUCUGAUUAGCUAGUUGGUGAGGUAACGGCUCACCAAGGCGACGAUCAGUAGCUGGUCUGAGAGGAUGAUCAGCCACAUUGGGACUGAGACACGGCCCAAACUCCUACGGGAGGCAGCAGUGGGGAAUAUUGGACAAUGGGCGCAAGCCUGAUCCAGCCAUGCCGCGUGAGUGAUGAAGGCCCUAGGGUUGUAAAGCUCUUUUGUGCGGGAAGAUAAUGACGGUACCGCAAGAAUAAGCCCCGGCUAACUUCGUGCCAGCAGCCGCGGUAAUACGAAGGGGGCUAGCGUUGCUCGGAAUCACUGGGCGUAAAGGGUGCGUAGGCGGGUCUUUAAGUCAGGGGUGAAAUCCUGGAGCUCAACUCCAGAACUGCCUUUGAUACUGAAGAUCUUGAGUUCGGGAGAGGUGAGUGGAACUGCGAGUGUAGAGGUGAAAUUCGUAGAUAUUCGCAAGAACACCAGUGGCGAAGGCGGCUCACUGGCCCGAUACUGACGCUGAGGCACGAAAGCGUGGGGAGCAAACA